Centropristis striata (black sea bass) is the source of this 327-nucleotide long non-coding RNA. RefSeq lists it as uncharacterized. The record is from RefSeq and is a predicted model, not a curated record. NCBI's taxonomy places the organism in Eukaryota, Metazoa, Chordata, Actinopteri, Perciformes, Serranidae. The transcript has 3 exons.
GUUAUAUUUAUUGUCAACAUUAGUUAGACAAGCGUUAGCAUAAGCAUAAGGUUGUUGUUUUUUUUAACUCACCCGUUUUUUCCCGAAUCCGGUUGAUGUUUCUCCUCUCUUGCUGUCACGUCCACUGACAAGAAUUUGGGGAGAAUCACUCAGGAUUCUACAGUUUGACUUGAGAGAAAAAAGCAGCCAGAGGGAGACUGAAAACAGGUCGGGACUGAGGGGUGAAGCCCUCCAUUCCUGACGGCCCUGAGAACGAGCCCUUCUUUUGGGAAUGAAAUGGAGCCUUGGACCUGCGGAAGCCAGGGAGCGAGAGGAGGCUGGAAGAAG